ACCUGGGUUAGUCCUACACGGCCAGCUCCCUAUAAAUCCCCCAGGUCUUGACCGAAGCAAGGGUAGUGGGUUGAGCGGCGCGAUGUAGCACGCUAACCCU
This 100-nucleotide signal recognition particle RNA is filed under the name bovine gut metagenome. Its description in RNAcentral is "Bacteroidales small SRP". It matches the Rfam family "Bacteroidales small SRP". From Rfam's summary of the family: The non-coding component of the signal recognition particle in Bacteroides The record is from RNAcentral.